Octopus sinensis (East Asian common octopus) is the source of this 9419-nucleotide RNA transcript. RefSeq lists it as uncharacterized. Lineage: Eukaryota; Metazoa; Mollusca; Cephalopoda; Octopoda; Octopodidae. The record is from RefSeq and is a predicted model, not a curated record. The transcript has 15 exons.
GGAUGAGUAGUAGUAUUAGAGGAGUUGAGUGAGGUGAAGGAAGAGGAGCAGGUGGAGGAAGAUGAAGAGAAGGUGGUAAAGUGAAAGUUAUUUUCUCACCUGCCAGAAAAAGGAAAGGUUACAUCUUAUCAGACUGAAACCCAGCUUGGAAAUGGUGUAACCAGCAUGGCAACAGCACCGGAUCCGAGAAAACAUGGGUCCAAACAAGACGACAUCACAAGCACCGAACAACCCAUUGUUCAACCUGUAAGCGCGGCCCCUGCACAGCCUGAGCAGCCCGAACUGACCAUGUCUCAGCCCUACAAACAUCAGCAGCCUCUGCCCUGCAUCGUCACCACAUCCGUGGAUGGUGGUGAGGAUGCGGAGAGGGAUACAGUAAUGCUUGUUGCUGGUGAGGCAAUGGGGAGCAUUGGUGCAGCGACGGCUGAAGGGGUCGGGCAUUCUGUGUCACUGGAAGCUGCGACAACAGCAGCAGCAACAGCAACAGCAGCAGCAGCAGUAGCAGCAGCAAGCACAUCAGCAACAACAACAACAAUAGUGAAACGAAACACUGAAAGAAUGACAACAACAUCAGGAACGAUGACACCAACAACGUCAACAUCAACAACAGCUGGUCCACAACAACGACCCUCAAGAGUAGACCAAGUGGAGGCACAAAGAAGCAGUACAUCAUCCGACCAGACCUCACCCAAACGGAACAGUGCCCACAUUAUGGAAUUCUUUGAGGAACAGGAGAAAUCUUUCCAAGAACACUUUCGAACCCUGCCUGUACCAAUUAAAGUGAAGAAACACCGAUCUCCAAGUCCUAGCAUGAUGAGGCAAAGUGUUGGCCUCGAUCAUUUAGACAACUUGGUUCGGUUAAUGGAGCAACUCACUACCUUACGAGAUGAAAACAACAGACUCAAGAAAAAAUGCGCCUACCUAGAAAGCACAAAAUAUCUUCUCCAAGUGAGGAGCGAUAUGUCUGAAGAUGAAGCACCUCUGGGUUAUAUGUCCCUCCCUUCUAAAUCUAAACAGAAGCAACAGAAGGCCAUGAAAGACUCUAGAGAAGCGGUGUUCCCAGCAGCCGCAUCAGACUCACCUCGGCACCGACUAUCAAGUGGAGACAGUUCUCAACAUUUGGAAAUCAUUGAAACCGCCUCGGAUCAAACACCGAAGCGACCCAAAACAGCCAAACUGUAUAAGCGAAGUUUCUCGACUGGUUCUUUAGAAAUACCAUCCGACGUAAUUGAACAAGAUAAUUCCCAAGAGAUGACCAGAGUUAUAGUUAGCGACUAUAAUGGCAAAGAUUCGAAAUCGGGAUCAAAGUCGCCCGGCUCUAAGAAAAAAUCAUGUAAGUUCUCAAAAUGGGCCCGUGUUAAGAAAAUCCUAACUGGACAGAAGACGACUGUUGAUGACUCUGACAUGACAAGAAAAUCCUUAAAAAACUUGGGAAAAGGCAGCAGCCAAUUACCACAGCAGUCUGAGAGUAGCACUCAAGAACUGACUGUUCCAAUAGUUGGCUUGACUGAAACCCGUUCUAUGGACAGUGGGGUUAGUAGCGGCGUCGAUGGAGAUGGUAGGGAAGGUGUGAGGACAUCCACUUCUUCUGGUGGUCCUCCCAGUCCAUCAGCGUUGACUAAAGACGCACCAGCGGAUGCUUUAGACACUGGCACGGAGUGGUGGCGGUGGAGGGAAAAGACAAAACACACCAGUGUCAGCAAAGUAGCCGACAGUCAGGGCCAGUACCUGAAUGUGAAAGUGCUGGUGCGGCGCCAGUCAAGUCCAUCAUUGGUCGCCGAAGGAGGGGAAGAGAGUGACAAAACCGUUGAUGGAGAUGGUAGUUCUCCACGCCUCCAUCGAUCGGCGAGCUACAAAAUACCGGGCAAAGGGGAAGAGCCGGGCUCCAGGGAAAGGAAAAUGCAUAAAACGGCAUGGGGAAGGGUGAAAGGCAUAAUCCACACAAAAAAGGACAGUGUUAAGAAAAAACACAAAAAGUCAGAGAAAACAAUUCCGACUGAAGAACCUUCGGAAACAGACACGGAAACAGAGUGUUUCAGUUACGGCUCUUCAGAACUGGCCAAGAAACAACUGAAGACCGGCUCUGAGAGUAAACCUAGCACACCACAACUUUCACCAUCGUUAUUUCACCAACAGAGCUCCAUCAAAUCGUCUGGCAGCGAAUCAUCCAAAUCGAAACACAGUUCUGCCAGGAAGAAGCUACCACAUAGCGGUAAGGUGGAUGUGGAGGCUUUAGUAGGUGGAAUGACAGAAGACUUUACGAAAAAGAUGAAACAAUGGGAAGAAUUAAAGUGUAUGCAGGCCACAGGCUUCGCCAAAGGAGCUGAGUGGAAGCUGAGUGGAAGCACCAUCCAACCAAUCCUGAAGGAUGCAACAAAAAGGACUGUUGAGUGGGAGCAAACCAAAGGCAAAGGCCAUGGCCCAGUUCAGAAGCUGAAAUGGGAGUCUGGUAGUUUAAGUGAAAAAGUAACCGAUGGGGCUGCCUCUCCCUCUCCUUCACCAUCUCCUUCUUCAACUGAUGCUAAGACCGCAAUCACAACUACAACACCAACCACCACCACUACUACUAGUACCACUAGCAUUUCUAGUACUGGUACAACAACAACCAUCACCACUACUACAACAACCACCCCCAGUUCCAUGGCAAUGACGUCUGCUAGUACCAGUCCUGCCAUGACACCCUCACCGGUCAAUGUGGAUGAGCUACAACGCAACCUGACAGAGAGCUUCUCUAGGAAGAUUCAGGAAUGGGAAAGCAUUAAAUAUCGGAAGGAGGGCAGCCCCUUGUUGUCAUCCAGCUCAAGAAGCCGAAAAGAAGGUAAAUACAAACUGAAGAAGUCAAAAUCCGAAAAAGAAAAGGACAAAGAAAAGGAAAAAGAGAAAGAAAAAAGUUCCAAGUCUGAGAAAAGUAAAGGAAAAGAUGGUGAAAAAUCAAAGAAAGGGUCCGUCUCUGCUGAAAAGGGUCGCCAGAGGCGGUCAACGAGCAAAAGUGAAAAGGAACAGGCUGGUCAGCUUGACUUUGAUCCUAAGCUGGCAGGUACAAUGCUCGGACCACUGGCGGAAUACAAGAUCACCGAUGAGUUUGCACACAAACUGUACGAGUGGGAAGAAAUGAAAGGAUUGUCCCACGAGCUCUCCGCCGCUGUCUUCCAGGUGUGUUCGUCACCAUUGAUGACGACAUCUACACCCCAACAACAACCACCACCAUCGUCACAACCAUCUUCUGCUGCUGUGGCCCCAACGGCUGCCAUCACCUCAACAACAACAACCACAACUACUGCUGCUGCUGCUGCUGCUGUUGUUGUUUCUGCCACACCGGCCGAAGAUGAAAUGCCACGGGGCAAGCAGCAGAAACAGAAACCCAGCCCACUGACCCUGACCUGCAGCUGGGAUUCACCCGAUGAAGCGUCACCUGUCGACCGAUUCUUCCUCUACUCCUCGUCUGAGACAAGUUUUGACGAGAGUGGAACCACCGAGCAGAGCAUGACAAAGACAAACAUCAUCAGCCUAGAAAAUGCCCACCACCGACUACUGCAAGAUCUGGAAGAUAAAAAACAAGAAUAUGUUCAGGUCCAAGAAUCGGUCAGGAAACUUCAUGGGAAGCUAGAGAAAUUCAAAGAUGCACAUUCCAAAGAAAUAGUUCGAUUCAGGAAAGAAAUGUUAUUAAGUAAGAAACCGAUGGGAAAACUGCGAGAGCAAGAAAGUGGUGCCCUCUACAAUACACUGCAGAAGCUGGAAGGUAAAAUUCAGGAACUGGAAAAUUCCGGAGAAAAGCUCCAAUUGUCUAUGGAAAGUGCUGCGAUGUGUAAGUUACUGAGUAUGGAGGGUGAAGAGAACAUCAGCUCUCGCCUCGUGGAACUGAUGGAACAGAUGAAGUUUAUGCUGGCAAAGGCUUCUCAAGAAGAAGAAGUUUCUAAGAAGUCUUCGGCCUUGAGCAAUUUUGAAAAGUUUUACUGCCACGCAAUGCAGUUGCAAAUACAGAUGAAUAACCUGCGCUUGAGUCAUCUGGAGCGUAACAAGGAAAUCAUGGAGAUGAAGAGGCAGCUGCUUCUGCAGGAAGUGAACAACCUCCUGCUGCAGGCAGACAUUACACGGCGAGAGUCAGAGUUGUACCAGUUCCAAGAGGCGAGACGCACAUCGCAGCUGAAACGGUGGAACACGUAUCAUGGAGGAACAGAGCAAAGACCACGAGUGGCGAAUCGCAGAGAAUGUGAAGCCUCGCCUCCGUUCCAUCGUUUUGUCAGCAUGAAAGAAAGAAGCAAGGAGCUAUACAGGGAUGCUGACAUGCAGUCGACGCGAGAAACAUCUCUACCAGACACCUUUGACCAAGGAGGACUGAAGCAGAGUCGUGCUGGUAGUUUGACUGAAAUUCGAUUUGAUCCUAAAUCUACCAUGGGUCAUAUCAAUGGAUCUGGUCCUCAGCUACAGUAUAGAUCCAGUUCUACCCCUUUUAUGGAUUCCCUGGUGCCUAGUAUGGAACAAACUCCAAUAAGAAUGGCACCAGAAGGGGAAACACAUCGCACAAGCUUCAUCUCAACACUUUCACCGAGUGAUGCAGAAUUGAUAUCAAGAAUUCCCGAUGGGGCAUCUCAGGAGAUUGAACCCAUUACCACUCCAGCCACAAUCAGUCACGACAUCCAUGAUUCGGAUCAAUCUCGUUUACAAAUUUCUUUCACUAUUUCUCUUCCGACAAUGAACGUGCAAAUCCCGCAAACGAUCACCACAUCCCCACAUGAGACCAGCUCCAUCAGCUCACAGUGCUUGUUAUGUAAAACAGCUUCGGUUCAAAGACAUGUGAGUGGCACUGCAGCCAUCGACACGAUGACGGAACCAACUACAGCAGGUCUCGGUGCCAGCACAAGCGAACAGAUUGGCAAAUUUCACCAGGGUGAGACACUCGCUGAUUGGUUGAAGAGAGAACCGAAAUGUCCAGAACUCCUCCUUCCAGAAUGUCCUCACAGUAAAGAUAUCAUUGCUGUACAACAAUCGAUGUUUGGUGAAGAACUGCCAACCGAAACAUCAUCUCUGGAAGAAGGGCAGACAAGUAAACAAAAAGGAUCAUCAUCCCCGUACUUCAAACCAACCGUUAAAAGCAAAGCAGCCCCUGUAUGCAGGGAUCAGUUGAUAAGCCAGACAUAUCCCCGCCAACCAACUGAAGGACAACAAAGCUCUCCUAAUGUGCCCUUCACAGCUCAGGCUGAAAAAUCAGACAAGAAAUCAUCAACAUUUACAGAAGAUCUUCCGUCAAGCUCUGACAAAAAAACACACCGUGAUCCACAAACAGAAGACAGGAAAAUAAAGUCAGGUAAAAGUCCAAAAAGAGAAAAACAAGGACCUUCCCCCGAGAGUCCAGCAUUAAGACUCUCACAAACUUCAAGUCCAACAGGACCAAAUGUGGCAUCUCCUCCACAAGUCGGAGUUGUGUCUCCAAUACGAAGACUCAAGCCGGCCACAGAAUUACUUGAGGAAUGCCAGAAAUACAGAUUGGGACAUUUAGCCCAUCACACCCGAGGCUAUCUCAGAGGUGCUCGUUUAGAAGACCCAAGUAAAAAGGUCGCCGAGGAAAUGAGUGCAAAGAGGCUGGAAAAAGAGAACAUAUCUGAAGGUUAUGUCGAAGUCGUUGCCAAAAGGCUUUCUGGAGAAGGAAUGCCAGCGCAAAGUCUUGGGUCAAGUGAGUGCACACCGAAAGCAGGGUCAGUCAUCUCAUUACAUUCUUCUGAUUCACCACGUUCACUGACCAAAUUUGGCUCUCACAUCUUCUACAACACACCGAGUGGUCAAGCUGAACUUCAUCCGCAACAGAAACUGUCGUCCUGGGUUGAAGCAGAAACUGAACCCGGAAAAGAGCAACUAGUUGAGCCUGCUGCAAAAGAGCAGCCAGUUGAGCCCACCACUGCUGCAGCUGGAGUCACCUAUCGAAAGAAAGCGGAUGGAGCUCAGGAGGAAGUGCCAUCGGCAUUGUUGACUACUCGGAGGAGGUCUUUGGAAGUGCCAAGGUCUAGUGAAUCCCAGAUUGAACUUCAAUCCUACAGCAGGUCAUCGAUGAACCUUGAUGGUAGGUCGCCAAAAGAAGGCAAACCAGAUUCAACUAUAAGUGUAUCCAAUUCUUUUUCGCUGCCUGUCUUAUCUUCUGGUGAGGCACAAGGGAAUGGUGCCGCGAGCAGAUCAGCAACUUGCAGUGCACUAAGUGAGAUAUUAUCCGAAGAUCCGGCAAAAACACCUCAACAGCCAUCAUCAAAAGAGGUGCCAUCAAUUAAGCAGAUAGGAGGUUCGAUAUUCUAUGUAGGUUCGCUGGAAUCCAGUUUGCCGGAAAUUUCCGAAAGUGUGGUGGAGAAAAGCUCAAAAAAGAAAGGUCACCGAAAACAGCGAACCAAAGCCGGACAACCGGCAUCAGCACCGCCACCUCCACUACCACCACCACAACCCUCCUCUAGCAGACGAACAGGCAAAACUAAAAAGGGGACCAUUGGAGAGCUUUGUAUGCAAAGUAUGACCUUUGACCUCGGCAUAUCAACUACAACAGCAACGCCGAAAGGGUCAGCGGGAGAAAAAGAAGGGGAUGAGGCUGAAGAGUCUAGUCUAGAACAGAGAGAAGAAGGGGCUGCUGCUGCUGCUGUUUGCAAAGGCCCCCCAGAAACUGAAGAAGUCAUCGUUUCUGAGGACGAGGAAAGUUUAACAAGUCUCCAGUCGAGCGACAAAAGGAAACCACGAAGUCGAUUCUUCGAUUCCAACUGGUUUUGCAAGUCAAAGAAAUUAUUCAAAGUUUCAAAGUGAGAAAACCCAGAUUAUGAAACUGCCAUCUCUACUCAAGGUGUCUCUCACAAUGGAAGAUUUCAAAAGAAGCUUGGAGAAAUCCCAGCAGGCAGUCACACAUUGUCAUCGGUGACUAGUGAAGAAAGGGGCCAGUGUUUUGGUGAAAGAAAGGGAAAAACAAAGACAAAAACAAAAAAAUAAAGGUCCACUGCUUGGUUUUGGUGACAUUCCAUUGGGUCAGCGAUAGGAAGGGCUGCAAAGCAAGGGGAGGCAACUCAAUGCGCCUUGCAUGCUUGCAUCUGAUCUCGGAUCGUCUUUUUGCUUCGUCCAGCCAAGACGUAGCCAUAAAGGAGAGAAAAAAUAGCACCGCCCCAACACCCACCACCACCCCUUAAAUCCCCCCAACCCCCUUCACACACAAACAUACACAUCACCGCCUCCAUCACCACCCGACCCACCAACCCCCACACCCGACUUCGGAGAUCAUACUCCAUCCCCCUGCCCGCCCGCUCGCUACGUCUCCCACCCAGACUCCCGGCCCCGCUCCUUGCAGCAGAAGAAGAAAAGGGGUAGAGAAGAAGAGACAGUAAGAGAACGAGGGAGAGAACGAGAGAGAGAGAGAGAGAUGCAGUGAGAGAGAGAGAGAGAGAGAGAGAGAGAGAGAGAGAGAGAGGUAUAUGAAUAUAAAAACGUAAAACAUGCUGCUAAGCUCACUGAACCCACACAAUGGCUGAUUAAGGACCCAAUACUGGUCCCUCAGUUAUGUAAUUUAGUAAUUUGAUUGAUUGGUUAUUGGUUUCAGACGUCUAUAUCAUUUUGUGAGCUUUCUGAUUCCUAUCACUAAUUCACGACUAAUGAUUUAUAGCAUGGAAUAAUCAGUCACUCGAACCAUUGUUUUUGGAUUAUCUCAGAUGCUGAUAAUCCGUACUGAUCUAUUUUCAAUCAGUAAUUUAUUGAUCUUUGAUCUCUGUUCAUAUCUUUUACUGAUCAAGAGAUUUAUAAAAAGGGCCAUAAACAGAAAUAAAUUAUUUUAAGGAAUAAUCUCUGAAUAUUAAACAGUUUGAAAAAAAUAUAAAAUAAAACUUUCAAAAUGUUUUUUCAUGAGAGUCCUGAAAGGGGUUAUGAACAAAACCCUUUUUUCCUCAAGGGCAGGAUAUAUUAGUCUUAGAAGAUUAAGGUUUCAUUAAUUCUACUUUAAGGAAAACUAAUUAUUGAAUUGCUAAUGAGUUGAUUAUGUUGAUGACCUUUUAGGGUCACAUUACAGAAAUGGAUAAAAAUAAUAUUAAGCAUUUAAUUCUAGGAGUUCAGCCAAACUGGGAACAGAAAAAGCCUUUCUGUCCCCUUUUUUUCCAACAUGUUCCCACUUGGGGGCAAUGGAUUGGGGUUUUUUUAAGCACCAAAGAACAGCAACAACAACAACAAAACUAUUUUCAGAUUUUCUCGAUGUUGCAAAUAAUAUUAUUUUAAUGAAACAGCUGGCUGUGAGAAUGUUCUUCUGUUAUUAGAAAGAGCAAAAUUAGAUGAAGGAAUAUAAUUAGAUAAUCUUUAAUAUUAAACACUUUUAGAAAUAGAAAACUGUUUUCAAGCAAUGCUUGUAAUGUCGGUUAAGGACAACUUCAUAGGAGAGGACCAUUAUGGAGAGUCUUCGAAUUAAGUGGAUAAAUAGAACUCCAUUUUAUUUUGUUUAUUUAUUUUAUCAUCUGGUAAUAAACACUUGAAACACAAAGAUGUAGAGAAGGUGGUUCCUUAAGUUUACAACAAAUAUUGACCACUUAGCAUUGAGGUGAGGACGAGGGUCUUAUUGCACCCAAAACUAUAUCAGUUGCAAGGUUUUCUAGUCUAAGGAACUGUUAAGUCGUUAGUCGCAAACAGCCAUUUACAAACAUUCAUCUGGAUAUCUAUAUGUCCGGUGGCCAUUUAUUAUUUGUCCAGCAUGUGUUGCAACCAUUGCCCCCUCCACCACCACCACCACCACCACAACUACCAUCAUAUCACCACCGCCGCCGCCACCACCGCCACCACCAUACACCUCCUGAAUCUACCAACUCAAAACAGUAACAACAAGUGAAAAAAAAAAUCAAAAAAGAAACCACCAAAACAUACAAAAUGAUAAACAACCAGAAAACCCUUUAAAAAAAUUGGGGACAGUGGAGAGAUGAGAGAAAGGGAGUGGGUGGGGGGGAAGCAUAGACAGUGUCUGCUGUCAGAGUGCUCUCCCUUGUCCCUCUCCCUAACAAACUCGGGUCACUUUGGGUUCUUACCUGAAACCCCACAGGGCAAUCAACGGGAGUAAAAGGUAAGGGCCACCACCACAGUGGAACAAAUUCAGUUCCAAAAUGUGGCAGACAGAACUGAAUACCAGAUGAGACAAUGGUAUAUAAGGAAAAAGGUGACCUCUCUACGUCGUCCCCGUCCCCCAGAAAGGGUCAAAAGUCAUGGAAUAUGUCUAAUUGUGUCAUGAAACACAACAUCAAGAAGAACAACAAAUGGAAACAAAAUGUUAAGUAAAGAAAAGGAAAAAGAAAUACUAAGAAUAAGACACGACCCACCCCCGCCCCGCCCCCGCCCACACGAGGGUGGGGGGAGGGGGGCGCUCCUAUUUGUCUUUUUUUUUCCUCUUUACAGAAACGAAUCGAAACAAGACAUUAAAUGUAAAUAACGAUCAA